This is a long non-coding RNA of Salvelinus fontinalis (brook trout), 1330 nucleotides long. RefSeq lists it as uncharacterized. The transcript has 3 exons. The record is from RefSeq and is a predicted model, not a curated record. NCBI's taxonomy places the organism in Eukaryota, Metazoa, Chordata, Actinopteri, Salmoniformes, Salmonidae.
CGAGUGCUGAAGGUCGCAAAGUGUGAAAAUCUUCUGUCCUCGUUUGCAACACUCACUACCGAGUUCCAAACUGCCUCUGGAAGCAACGACAGAACAUGGACACAAUGCAAUUGUGAUCAAGGAGAAGAAAUUCCGAAGUAUCUGGAUGGUCAGUGGAGGAUGUCUGCCAGUGGCUUCAGCAAAAUCAGUUGGCGGACUACACCUCUCCUUUCCAAAGUUUUAAAUUUAAAUACAUCAAUUGCAUGCAAGGUCCAACCAAAACUUGACUUCCGCUUUUAACCCAACUACCGUGUAGCUCUUGUUGUGGGGGUGUUUUAACUGCCUUGCUCAAGGACAGAACAACAGAUUUUUCACCUUGUAGGCUGGACGACUCAAAUGCUUUAAAUCCUAGGCUACCCGCCGGUCAACACCAGUCAAAAUGCCUGCUUUGUAUAACUGCCUAAUAUGAAACAAGCAUUUUUUUUGUUGCUCAUAAAACAGAUUUGCCACAUUGGUCUGUAUCACCAGAGUGAGCCAGGGUUCCUGUUAACAUGUGAACUUGGAGGUUGCAUGGAAACAUGUAAAUGCUUUGCGUCAUAUAGGACACAUAUAUACAGAAAACACAAUCAUUUGCUGACAGAUAGGCCUAAUGGUUCUGUAAUCCCUGUGCCUGACUACAUUAAGGAAAAUGUGAACGACUAUGACUCUGAUCUCGAGUGGGCGCCUGCAACUAAUGUUAUUGUGUCCAUGAACUUCAAAACUGAAGACUUGGUUAGAUGCCUUAAGAGAAACCUCUGCCUUUUUAUGUUGAAGAUCAGAGAGAAACAUUGUGUUCCUGGGACUGUGCAGAGCAGUAUAGUGGAGGAUCUUCAUACUAUAUUUGAUUAAUGAAUGUCCCACUACAGCGAUUACUUUGAAAUUCCAUCUUCGAAACAUUCACAUCAAUAUAGAUGAGGACAAUAACUUGUGUGAGCUUUUAAACCAGAUAAAGGUUUUUGAAAAGUGCAUGAGAAGCAUCAACACAGAGUGAAUACUGGAGCAAUACUGCUGUAAAGAAAUGGGAAUGGUUAGACUGAGUGAGAUACAUCUGAGUGGUGAAGAACAGGACAGAGGCAGUUUUCAGUACAUCCCACUACCUGAUCAUUUGAAGAAGGUGGCACAAAAUGAAGAUGUUUGGGCGAGCUUAAAUAGAGAAGAAGAACAUGCCACUGAUAAAAUCUUGAGUGAUUUCACAGAUGAGGGAUUUUAAGAGCAAUCCCUUGCUCACGCAAAAACAAACGAUGUGGCUUAAUUUUUAUAGAGAUGAAUUUGAGGUUGUUAAUCCACUUGGAUCAAUAAAAGGAAAACAAUA